RNAcentral lists this transfer RNA (73 nucleotides) under marine sediment metagenome. RNAcentral describes it as "tRNA-Arg". The stretch from base 8 to 67 matches the Rfam family "tRNA", at positions 8 to 63 of the family's 71-position model. From Rfam's summary of the family: Transfer RNA (tRNA) molecules are approximately 80 nucleotides in length. Their secondary structure includes four short double-helical elements and three loops (D, anti-codon, and T loops). The record is from RNAcentral.
UCCUAACUAGCCUAGUAUGGAUAGGGUGUCGGACUUCUAAUCCGAAAGUCGCAGGUUCAAAUCCUGCUAGGUC